RNAcentral lists this transfer-messenger RNA (343 nucleotides) under uncultured Eubacterium sp. It matches the Rfam family "transfer-messenger RNA". Rfam says of the family: Bacterial tmRNA, also known as 10Sa RNA or SsrA, is named for its dual tRNA and mRNA-like properties. Its role is to liberate the mRNA from a stalled ribosome. To accomplish this part of the tmRNA is used as a reading frame that ends in a translation stop signal. The record is from RNAcentral. Lineage: Bacteria; Bacillati; Bacillota; Clostridia; Eubacteriales; Eubacteriaceae.
GGGGUAGUACUGGUUUCGACAGGGAUUCAGAAACUCGGGCAGCCAUCUGAAGGCGGGGCUUCAUUAAAACCUGAAAUUAAAAUUAAACGCUGAAGAUAAUUUAGCAAUCGCUGCCUAGUAUGGCAGCUGUCAGCCUGAUGUCAUUCGCUGCAUCAGAUCCUGGCAUCGACGAGGCGAAGCACUUCCUCUCCAAAGCUUUGCGGAUUGGGAAGAUUUAUGAAGCUACUGAAAUGACUAGCCUGUAUGCUGGCGAGUCACGUAGGGAAUGUUAAAUAACAUACUGUGAUGGGAGACACCUAAGUGGAAAAGUCUUUGGACCGGGGUUCGACUCCCCGCUGCUCCA